Molecule: long non-coding RNA, 2896 nt
Organism: Equus asinus (donkey)
Lineage: Eukaryota; Metazoa; Chordata; Mammalia; Perissodactyla; Equidae
Source: Ensembl
GUCAAGGGAUUCACAGAACAGGGCCUCUGACCUAACUUCAGGGGUCAACGGAGGCUUCCCCCAGGACAGUUGAGAACUCUGAAGGGGGAGCAGGAGUAGACACCUAGAGCGGCUUGGGUGGAGGGUGAGCAUGCACAGAUUCUAGCAGAGCAGACGGUCCUCCCCAACACGGGCAGGCAUCAGCCAAGAAGUCAAGGGCCUGAAUAGAAUAAAAAGGCGGAGGAAGGUUGAAUUCACUCCUCGACUGAUUGCUGAGCGGAAACGUUGAUCUCCUGCCCUGGGUGAUCCUGAUUCAUAGAACCUCAGAUCCAGACUGGAAUCUACACCCUCGGCUCUCUGGCUGUCAAGGCUUCCAGCAUCUUCCCUGGAUCUCCAGCGUGCAGACAGCAGACUGUGGGACUUCUCAGCCUCCAUAAUCACGUUCUGCCACACGUCGAGAAAGAAAGUGAGAAAUUUGAGAGCACGAAAGUUAAAAGGGCUUCUCAAUAAUUAGCUUAACAGGAAGAUUAGCCCUGAGCUAACAUCUGCCGCCAAUCCUCCUCUUUUUGCUAAGGAAGACUGGCCCUGAGCUCACAUCCACGCCCAUCUUCCUCUGCUUUAUAUGUGGGAUGCCUGCCACAGCAUGGCUUGCCAAGCGGUGCCAUGUCCGCACCCGGGAUCCGAACCAGCAAACCCCGGGCCACCGAAGUGGAACAUGUGCACUUAACCACUGCGCCACCGGGCCGGCCCCUAAAAUGCAUUUUUAUCCCAAGGGCUAUACAAAAACAAGCGGUGGGCUAGAUUUAGCCCAUGGGCUGUAGAGCUGGCUUAUGCUACCUACUGAGAACUCUCUAAUUAGGGCAAUGACACAAAGAUAGGCAACUCCAAUACAAGGCAAAAUGUUGCAAAGGCAAAUUUUAAAACUCUCUAUGGCCCAAUGGAGGCAGACAGCCCAUUUGGUUGUAGCAAUUAGGAAGUCUUCCAUGAAGAGGUGACAAUCCAUGUGGGUCUUGCAUGAUGGGUAGGAGUUCAACAAGUAGAGACAGUGAAGAUAGACCAUGCAGAGGGAAUGGCUUGGACAAAGGGGUGAGAACUGGCAUUUGCAAGCCACCCACUCCAAAAUGCCUGCUUCCACCCAAAAUAUUCCAAUCUCUUGAACUAAAAAUGCUUUGAGGAAUUGGAAUAUGUGAAAAGUGUUUCAAUGCUUCUGUGAGUACCAAUGAAACUAAAGCAUUGAGAAAGGGACAAAUUGCAACAACUGAAAUAAUAGCGUUACGUGUGAAAACCAUGAUCAAUGAUAUAUUUUUCUCUCUUUACAGAUCACAAGUUGAGGGGAGGGUGUCUUAUUUCCCACAUCAAAUUACUUCCGGGUGCAAAUUCGACUGUACGGAAUAUGCUCCCAAGUAUCAUACAAUACAAAAAAUAAUUCUCUUGAGAUAGUUUCUAGUUAUACAAAUUAGUUCCCAUGAGAUUUAUUUUGUUUUCUUUAGUCUUUACACACCAUCCAAUGGAGUUGUUGGUUAUUUUCAAGCACAAGAAAUCCCCUCAUGAGUAUAAAUUACUACAAUUUCAGACAGUGUUGGGUUUUUUCCAAGUUACACAUUUUCAUUAGAUUUGCUUUGAUACCAGUCAUUAAAAGGAAAUGCUAUCUGGUUGGCAGUGUUUCUAGAGCAAGAAAGAAGGCAAACUGUCAAGUUGGUAUGGAAUAAUGCAUUUCUCUCCUGAGAGACACCCAACUUCAGACAGUAGGGCAGUUAAGAGACCAGGUUCUGAAGUCAAACUCUCCAGGCUCAAUUCGCUGGCCUCCCACCCAACGAGCUAUCAGCACCUGACAAAUUACUCAUCUCCCACAGCCUCAGUUUCCCCAACAAUAAAAUAGGAAAAAGUAAUCAUAGCCACCUCUCGGUGAGUAUGUGAUUGUACGGUACAGGAAACGGGCUCAGUUAGUUUUAGCAAUCAUUACCAUGUCCCAGUGACCCCUUUCCUCCAAAUCUAAACAAAAUCUGCCAAUUUUUUUUUUUUUUGAGCUAAAAUGAUAUUCCCUCCAUGCAACCUUCUGAUACAGCGGUAAGUUGAAGACAAGACCUGACAAGUAAGACCCUUCGUGUCCCCUUCUCUCUCCGUCCUCCAUCAUUUGGACCCUGCAGGGGUCUGAAACUGCUCACCAAGCUGCGGGAGAUAAAGGCAGAGAAACAGGGCGAAGCUGACCACACAGCCUCUCCCACUGCCAGCUUCCUGCCCACAGCGGGCCCAGCUGGCAGAGAGCAGGGCAGAGGUCUCAUCGGUAGGGAGGUCUGGAUUUUGGUUCCUUACACAGGAUAGAACAGACCGAGUACUGAAAUGAGAACCCUUGGGACAUCAGAAAGGGUAUUUUGUAUUAUCUGAGAGAGGCUGGAAAAGCUAUAGGACCAUCUGAGCUUCCAUCAGGGGCAGAGAAGAACUUUUCCCGUGACAGGGGGAGGAGUGGGCAGAGGCAAGAAGGGAGACAAAGCUGAUUUUGAUCACAUUCUAAGAGACCCAUUACAACUGAUGUGCAUGGACUGUCUGUCUGUCUGUCUGCCGUGGGUGUGAGGGACGGUGGCAAUGACUCAGGCCUUCAAGACAUAUAGACCUGAAGCUUCAGCACCUAUUACCUCAUUGAAGUGCAGUUUUCUCAACUGAGUUCUGGGGACAAGAAUGAGUGGGGACUCAAGGAGAUGAGGGAUGCAGAGUUUUUGGCACAGUGCCAUCCUGCAGACAAAACAAACGGCGGCUGAUCUUGUCACGAUCACUAGUAUCUGUGUUCUCACUCCCAUUCAGUGGCGACUUGUGAAGUCACUUUAAUAUUCACUAACGGCCAUGGCAAUUUGCAGUCAGUGCCUUUAUGGGUCAGAGUGCAAUCCAGCAGAGCCUGUGGGUGUGGGUUUGUUCCCCCCAG